CCCUUAGACGUUCUGGGCCGCACGCGCGCUACACUGACGAAGGCAACGAGCUUUCCUUUACCGAAAGGUACGGGUAAUCUUUUGAAACUUCGUCGUGCUGGGGAUAGAUCCUUGCAAUUUUUGAUCUUAAACGAGGAAUGCCUAGUAAGCGCAAGUCAUCAACUUGCGUUGAUUACGUCCCUGCCCUUUGUACACACCGCCCGUCGCUCCUACCGAUUGAAUGGUCCGGUGAAGCGUUCGGACCGUGGCCUUUGGACGGUUCGCCGUCUGUUGGCUGCGGGAAGUUCGUUAAACCUUAUCAUUUAGAGGAAGGAGAAGUCGUAACA
This 326-nucleotide ribosomal RNA is filed under the name uncultured eukaryote. RNAcentral's name for it is "partial 18S ribosomal RNA". It matches the Rfam family "Eukaryotic small subunit ribosomal RNA", at positions 1470 to 1796 of the family's 1831-position model. The record is from RNAcentral.